Molecule: non-coding RNA, 63 nt
Organism: Paenibacillus sp.
Lineage: Bacteria; Bacillati; Bacillota; Bacilli; Caryophanales; Paenibacillaceae
Source: Rfam
GGGAGCCGGAUGAGCCGAGAGGUUCACGUCCGGUUCUGAGAGGGCCUGAUGGUGCGAUUCCAU